Molecule: long non-coding RNA, 574 nt
Organism: Patella vulgata (common limpet)
Lineage: Eukaryota; Metazoa; Mollusca; Gastropoda; Patellidae
Exons: 3
Source: RefSeq, a predicted model, not a curated record
AGUUUCUAGAUACUUUGGAUUAAGUUACAUCUCAUUAAAAAAUCCCAAGCAAGACGCGAAAGAGCUAAGAGACUUCAAUAAACUUACUAAAGAUGUUAUCAGACCAUACAGAAUUCAAAAUGAUAUCAUUAGUUUGGCGAUUUCACAAGACCUUGGAGUUUUACAUGGUGAUUGGGUUUCUAAACCAUGGUUUAUAUCUUUAUCACAGUGUUCGUCUUUAAAUGGGUAUGGUGAAUUUAGACGGAUGUAUAGUCAAGUGAAAGAAUAUAUGGAUGGAAAGACAAUUUUUUUUAAUACAGUGGGGCCUGUUCUGUUUCAAACCGAGGAUGUAUCACCUUACAUAAAAUCUGACUAUCUGGGUUCCGAUGAUCAGGUAACAGACGAUAAUUCUAUGAAUGAUGGUUCCAUGGACGUUACUGCGGAAAACGAGGUUGAUAAUGCUAACAGUUCCGACCAAAAUAAAGCCAGUUUAAAUGGUGAAAUUAACACCGAAGACAUCGAUAGUGCCGCUCCCUAAUACAUUUCAAGUUUUCUAAUAAACUCUUUAUUUGAGAUUAUUUACGCUAUGGUUGAA